RNAcentral lists this transfer RNA (82 nucleotides) under Candidatus Parcubacteria bacterium. Its description in RNAcentral is "tRNA-Leu". It matches the Rfam family "tRNA". Rfam says of the family: Transfer RNA (tRNA) molecules are approximately 80 nucleotides in length. Their secondary structure includes four short double-helical elements and three loops (D, anti-codon, and T loops). The record is from RNAcentral. Lineage: Bacteria; Candidatus Parcubacteria.
GCCGGUGUGGUGGAAUUGGCAGACACGCAUGGUUUAGGACCAUGUGCCGUAAGGCGUGAAGGUUCGACUCCUUUCACCGGCA